GUGUUUGCUUCAGCAGCACAUACGCUAAAAUUGGAACAAUACAGAGAAGAUUAGCAUUAACAUCCCUGUGCAAGGAUGACAUGCAAAUUUGUGAAGUGUUCCAUAUUUUU
Small nuclear RNA from Nycticebus coucang (slow loris), 110 nucleotides. The record is from RefSeq and is a predicted model, not a curated record. NCBI's taxonomy places the organism in Eukaryota, Metazoa, Chordata, Mammalia, Primates, Lorisidae.